CUAUUUUCAAUCUCUUUUUAAACACAAACCACUGCGCUGCAGGUUGAAUAUCUGUGCAGGGAACAGAGUGUAUCUGAAUGUUUUGUUGUUUUAGUGGAGGCCCUGCAGGAGAGCUCUAGGUCAGGUAAUUUUAGCUCUGGCUGAGGAGACCCAGUCCACUGCUUUCUUCUUCUUCAAAUCAGAUUUUGCUCUUCUGGAACAGAGGUUUCUUCAGAACCUGCAGCGCUGUAAUGAGGGAGAUGCUAAAGCCAAGUGGCAUCCACUGGCAGGUGGAGAGACAGACAUGGUGGAACCACAGGCGGAUGGUGAACCAGCUGCAGGGUAAAGCUAUGAAGUCUACGAGGUGUGCAGGCGAUUCUGCAAGGGAUGUGAUUGAAGAAGAAGAAUUCCCAGGAAGCACAGGAGGAGGAAACAUUACAGCAAACCUCAUGAGUUCUCAAACAAUGAAAAUAAACUUUAAGACUAUAAACAGAGAAGCCCUGCAGAAAGAAUAGAGACAGCCUUUUUUUUUUUUUUUUGACACUUCAUUGACUUCUUUUAGGUGUUUAAAUGUGAACUCGGGAAGCACUAAAAUUGGCCUCACAGAAAAAGGUGAGUCAUGUUUUUUUGUGUGUGCACGCAUGUGUUUAUUUGGCAAAAACAAUGUUGUUUUAAGGAUGGAUAUUAGAGAUAAAUGUAUAUUAGGGAGGCAUAGAUGAGAGACUGUUUCUGUUUGAGUAGGUUUUUUUUUUUUUUUUUUUUGCUCAGUAAGUUGCUAAGCCUUUUCCUUUAGAGAUGGCAUGUAUGUCUCUCUCUCUCUCUCUCUCUCUGUGUGUGUGUGUGUUUAGAGUAGAAGGUGUGUGUCCUCCCUGACCCCUCCUGCAUCUUUACCGCCACCCAUCUGUUUACUGACUCAUGAAAAAUUCAUGAGUAUGUGUUUGGGAGCAGUGGAAUAAUUUUCAAUAUUUAGCCAGGCUAUGAAUACAGAUGAUGUUGAACUUUGGUGUAUUGCGGCGGCGUACGUGAAGGUGCGUGUAGCUGGUGUCGUGGCAGGCUGAGGUCAGUGGGCUUAAUGAGGGAGUGAAGAAGCCGCGGAUCCACACACGUGUGCUGAGUGAGACGUGUCACCUGUAGGAGACCCGUGACUGGACAGGAGGGGUGGGACAGACUAGAUCCAAAGCCAACUGCAACUAAUAUAUCAGCAGCUGUCAAUCAAACACACUCAAUAAAAGUAACCAUAUGCAAUUCA
This is a long non-coding RNA of Cyprinus carpio (common carp), 1228 nucleotides long. The record is from Ensembl. NCBI's taxonomy places the organism in Eukaryota, Metazoa, Chordata, Actinopteri, Cypriniformes, Cyprinidae.